AUGGAGCCGACCUUGAAAUACCACCCUUUAAUGUUUGAUGUUCUAACGUUGACCCGUAAUCCGGGUUGCGGACAGUGUCUGGUGGGUAGUUUGACUGGGGCGGUCUCCUCCUAAAGAGUAACGGAGGAGCACGAAGGUUGGCUAAUCCUGGUCGGACAUCAGGAGGUUAGUGCAAUGGCAUAAGCCAGCUUGACUGCGAGCGUGACGGCGCGAGCAGGUGCGAAAGCAGGUCAUAGUGAUCCGGUGGUUCUGAAUGGAAGGGCCAUCGCUCAACGGAUAAAAGGUACUCCGGGGAUAACAGGCUGAUACCGCCCAAGAGUUCAUAUCGACGGCGGUGUUUGGCACCUCGAUGUCGGCUCAUCACAUCCUGGGGCUGAAGUAGGUCCCAAGGGUAUGGCUGUUCGCCAUUUAAAGUGGUACGCGAGCUGGGUUUAGAACGUCGUGAGACAGUUCGGUCCCUAUCUGCCGUGGGCGCUGGAGAACUGAGGGGGGCUGCUCCUAGUACGAGAGGACCGGAGUGGACGCAUCACUGGUGUUCGGGUUGUCAUGCCAAUGGCACUGCCCGGUAGCUAAAUGCGGAAGAGAUAAGUGCUGAAAGCAUCUAAGCACGAAACUUGCCCCGAGAUGAGUUCUCCCUGACCCUUUAAGGGUCCUGAAGGAACGUUGAAGACGAC
RNAcentral lists this ribosomal RNA (674 nucleotides) under Escherichia coli. RNAcentral's name for it is "partial 23S ribosomal RNA". It matches the Rfam family "Bacterial large subunit ribosomal RNA", at positions 2180 to 2848 of the family's 2925-position model. The record is from RNAcentral. Lineage: Bacteria; Pseudomonadati; Pseudomonadota; Gammaproteobacteria; Enterobacterales; Enterobacteriaceae.